GGUGUUUACUGUCGAACUGAACACUCUACCGUUUACUGUCCGGUGGUGCUCUUCACCGAGUGUCACCAGUGGUCGGUACGUUUACUUUGAAAAAAUUAGAGUGCUCAAAGCGGUUUUUACACGACCGAAUACUGUUGCAUGGAAUAAUGAAAUAGGACUUUGGUUCUAUUUUGUUGGUCUUCGGAACCAAGGUAAUGAUUAAGAGGGACAGACGGGGGCAUUAGUAUUGCGACGCUAGAGGUGAAAUUCUUGGACCGUCGCAAGACUAACUAAAGCGAAAGCAUUUGCCAAGAAUGUUUUCAUUAAUCAAGAACGAAAGUUAGAGGUUUGAAGGCGAUCAGAUACCGCCCUAGUUCUAACCAUAAACGAUGCCAACCAGCAAUCAGCCUGUGUUCUCUUGAUGACACGGCUGGCGGCUUCCGGGAAACCAAAGUCUUUCGGUUCCAGGGGAAGUAUGGUUGCAAAGCUGAAACUUAAAGGAAUUGACGGAAGGGCACCACCAGGAGUGGAGCCUGCGGCUUAAUUUGACUCAACACGGGGAAACUCACCCGGCCCGGACACUGUGAGGAUUGACAGGUUGAAGCCCUUUCUUGAUUCAGUGGGUGGUGGUGCAUGGCCGUUCUUAGUUGGUGGAGUGAUUUGUCUGGUUAAUUCCGAUAACGAACGAGACUCUAGCCUACUAAUUAGACCGUGGCGUCCUCGUGCCGCCACGGCGCUUCCUAGAGGGACAGACGG
RNAcentral lists this ribosomal RNA (735 nucleotides) under uncultured eukaryote. RNAcentral describes it as "SSU rRNA". It matches the Rfam family "Eukaryotic small subunit ribosomal RNA", at positions 671 to 1426 of the family's 1831-position model. The record is from RNAcentral.